This is a non-coding RNA of Phasianus colchicus (ring-necked pheasant), 674 nucleotides long. The record is from RefSeq and is a predicted model, not a curated record. NCBI's taxonomy places the organism in Eukaryota, Metazoa, Chordata, Aves, Galliformes, Phasianidae.
CUGUGGCGGCCGAGCCGGGGCAGCCUGCUCAGCGCCGCGGCGGCGGCGGCGGCGGCUGGAGACAAAGCGCCCAGCUAAUGAAUGGGACGGGCCCGCCCGGCCCUUCCUUUUAACUCCUUCGGGCCCGGCCGGGCGGCGGCGGCAGCGGCGACCUCCGGCUUUCCCUGCGGCGGCCGCCCGGGGAGAUACAAUCAUCUUUAAGUUUGAGUAACAAGUAUUUAACCUCAAAUGAAGCUUCCUGCAUGCAGCGGAACAGAUAUAGUUGAUGACAAGCAUCAAAAGCACAGCAAGGAAAAGUAGGGAAGAAGGUCUACAACUGCAGUUCCUUGUUCAAGGCUAACUCUCAUCUAUUCACCUCAACUUGAACUGAGACCAUCAAGGAACACAACCAUCAGUGUUUAACUGCCUGGCUUCUGCUCAGUGGUAUCUUGUACGGAAAGGUAACUUAGGAUAAAAUGAUUAGGGCCUAUUUGAAUAUGUGGUGAUAAUGAGUGGUAGUGAUUAAGAAUUAACCAUUGCCAAUGUGUAUUGUUAAUGAACAUCGAUCUAGUAAGGUCUUAUUAGGAAGUUUGCAGUUGGGCUCCAUUAUCAGUCUUCUAAAUCUUCCCAUCGCAGCAACCUUAAGUUCAGCUGCUUUAAGAAGUGUUUACUGGGGCAAGGACAAGUGCAGCAUC